GAAUCAUAUGAGAAAGCUAGGACAUCUGUCACCCCAUUGGUCACCAAGAUUGAUUCAGCUGACCUAGCUGGCUGAGUGGGUGUCCUCUUCCUCCUCUUUGCUCCCUGUGCAUCCUCUUAAAGCUGGGCACUCCAUGGAAGAUAACAUUCUUUUCUGAUAAAAGUGGACCCACCUUCAGUUAAGAGGAUGUGAGUAGCUUUGGUUCUCUGAAUAAGCUCUGAAGGUCCAGCUGUGGGAGAAUGUACAGUAGUCAAGCCUCCAAGAUUGCAGACACAUCCAAGUGAGGUGCUUCACGCAUCCAUUUGCCUUUUUUU
Molecule: unclassified non-coding RNA, 314 nt
Organism: Ictidomys tridecemlineatus (thirteen-lined ground squirrel)
Lineage: Eukaryota; Metazoa; Chordata; Mammalia; Rodentia; Sciuridae
Gene: 7SK
Rfam family: 7SK RNA
About the family: 7SK was discovered as an abundant small nuclear RNA in the mid-70s but a possible function has only recently been suggested.
Source: Ensembl